CCUACGGGGGGCAGCAGUGAGGAAUAUUGGUCAAUGGGCUUACGCCUGAACCAGCCAAGCCGCGUGAGGGAAGACUGCUCUAUGGGUUGUAAACUUCUUUUGUCAGGGAGCAAUUGGCGCUACGUGUAGCGUUAUCGAGAGUACCUGAAGAAAAAGCAUCGGCUAACUCCGUGCCAGCAGCCGCGGUAAUACGGGGAAUGCGAGGGUUAUCCGGAUUUAUUGGGUUAAAGGGGUGCGUGGGCGGAAUGCCAAGUCAGCGGUAAAAUCGCGGGGGUAAACCUCGCUCCGCCGUUGAAACUGGCGGUCUAGAGUGGACGAGAGGUAGGCGGAAUGCGUGGUGUAGCGGUGAAAUGCAUAGAUAUCACGCAGAACUCCGAUUGCGAAGGCAGCAUACCGGCGCCCAACUGACGCUGAAGCACGAAAGCGUGGGGAGCGAACAGGAUUAGAUACCCGAGUAGUC
RNAcentral lists this ribosomal RNA (460 nucleotides) under uncultured bacterium. RNAcentral describes it as "partial 16S ribosomal RNA". It matches the Rfam family "Bacterial small subunit ribosomal RNA", at positions 338 to 795 of the family's 1533-position model. The record is from RNAcentral.